This 73-nucleotide transfer RNA is filed under the name Pediococcus claussenii. RNAcentral describes it as "tRNA-Lys". It matches the Rfam family "tRNA". Rfam says of the family: Transfer RNA (tRNA) molecules are approximately 80 nucleotides in length. Their secondary structure includes four short double-helical elements and three loops (D, anti-codon, and T loops). RNAcentral also lists the same sequence under 1 other name. Lineage: Bacteria; Bacillati; Bacillota; Bacilli; Lactobacillales; Lactobacillaceae. The record is from RNAcentral.
GAGCCGUUAGCUCAGUUGGUAGAGCAUCUGACUUUUAAUCAGAGGGUCGGCAGUUCGAGCCUGCCACGGCUCA